Pipistrellus kuhlii (Kuhl's pipistrelle) is the source of this 333-nucleotide long non-coding RNA. RefSeq lists it as uncharacterized. Lineage: Eukaryota; Metazoa; Chordata; Mammalia; Chiroptera; Vespertilionidae. The record is from RefSeq and is a predicted model, not a curated record. The transcript has 3 exons.
CAGGCAAAAUUCCAUUUCAAUAAAUCUAAUUUUUAUUAUCAGAUUCAACAGACAACAUUACAUUCCAACAAAAAUAAUCAGAACAAACACAACAGGGAAAAAAUAACAUAAUUGCAAAAUCUGUAUGUGUUGUUCAUUGAAUGUGCAUACUAUAGGUGAUUAAUACAGAGAAUUGCUUCUAUGCUAAUAACGUUUGUUGUUCUGCAAUCGUAACUAGACAACAAAUUCUAAGUGAAAGAUAGUGUUUCCUCACUUUGAAUGAACACCAUAUUUAUUAACAGGAAGGUUUUUUAAUAGACAAAUGUACAUGUAUGACUUGUUAGCCUAAUCCAG